This 503-nucleotide ribosomal RNA is filed under the name uncultured bacterium. RNAcentral's name for it is "partial 16S ribosomal RNA". It matches the Rfam family "Bacterial small subunit ribosomal RNA", at positions 30 to 523 of the family's 1533-position model. The record is from RNAcentral.
AUUGAACGCUGGCGGCAGGCUUAACACAUGCAAGUCGAGCGGGGUGAUGGUGCUUGCACUAUCACUUAGCGGCGGACGGGUGAGUAAUGCUUAGGAAUCUGCCUAUUAGUGGGGGACAACAUCUCGAAAGGGAUGCUAAUACCGCAUACGUCCUACGGGAGAAAGCAGGGGAUCACUUGUGACCUUGCGCUAAUAGAUGAGCCUAAGUCGGAUUAGCUUGUUGGUGGGGUAAAGGCCUACCAAGGCGACGAUCUGUAGCGGGUCUGAGAGGAUGAUACGCCACACUGGGACUGAGACACGGCCCAGACUCCUACGGGAGGCAGCAGUGGGGAAUAUUGGACAAUGGGGGGAACCCUGAUCCAGCCAUGCCGCGUGUGUGAAGAAGGCCUUAUGGUUGUAAAGCACUUUAAGCGAGGAGGAGGCUCUUUUGGUUAAUACCCAAGAUGAGUGGACGUUACUCGCAGAAUAAGCACCGGCUAACUCUGUGCCAGCAGCCGCGGUAA